This 253-nucleotide ribosomal RNA is filed under the name uncultured bacterium. RNAcentral's name for it is "partial 16S ribosomal RNA". It matches the Rfam family "Bacterial small subunit ribosomal RNA", at positions 524 to 776 of the family's 1533-position model. The record is from RNAcentral.
UACAGAGGUCUCAAGCGUUGUUCGGAUUCAUUGGGCGUAAAGGGUGCGUAGGUGGCGGGGCAAGUCAGGUGUGAAAUCUCGGAGCUCAACUCCGAAACUGCACUUGAUACUGCCUUGCUGGAGUACUGGAGAGGAGAUUGGAAUUCAUGGUGUAGCAGUGAAAUGCGUAGAGAUCAUGAGGAAGACCAGUGGCGAAGGCGGGUCUCUGGACAGUUCCUGACACUGAGACACGAAGGCCAGGGGAGCAAACGGG